This 430-nucleotide transfer-messenger RNA is filed under the name Patescibacteria group. Its description in RNAcentral is "PNNO01 sp014728955 Standard tmRNA". It matches the Rfam family "transfer-messenger RNA". From Rfam's summary of the family: Bacterial tmRNA, also known as 10Sa RNA or SsrA, is named for its dual tRNA and mRNA-like properties. Its role is to liberate the mRNA from a stalled ribosome. The record is from RNAcentral. RNAcentral also lists the same sequence under 1 other name.
GGGGAUGUACUGGCAUUCGACAGAGGUCAUACGAAAUGUUAAGUAGCAAUCUGGGGGUUGCACCGUCUCCCCAUAUAUCCGUCCGGUGCAUUUUAGAUGCUGACGAAGUAUCAGAAUCAAGCCCUGCUUAUCUUGCUCAGUAUGGAUUCGCUCCUGCUAUGGCAGUUGCAUAAGUACUCUUGAUCCUUAAGUGCCCAUAGCGGCGCUUACGUUCUUCCGGUUGACACCCGAUAUUCCCUAAGAACGCCACCCUAUCGGGUUAGAUCUUCUUGUUUCCCGGUUUGAAAGACGAUUGAAUCCUUAAAACCGACCGGCAUAUAACGCUUUUGAUUAUUUUUUAUGUUAUGUGACGUAAUUAAAAUAAUCUAUGAUUGUAGACGCUUAUUGUUUCGGCCUUUGGACCCGGGUUCGACUCCCGGCAUCUCCACCA